CCUACGGGAGGCAGCAGUAGGGAAUUUUGCGCAAUGCGCGAAACCCUGAAGCAGCAACGCCGCGUGGAUGAUGAAGGCCUUCGGAUUGUAAACUUCUUUUGUUAGAGAAGAUAAUGACUGUAUGUAACUAAGAAGCUCUUGCUAACUCCGUUCCAGCAGCCGCGGUAAAACGGAGGGUGCAAGCGUUACUCGGAAUGACUGGGCGUAAAGAGCGCGUAGGCGGCAGAGCAAGUCAGAUGUGAAAGACUAUGGCUUAACCAUAGGACUGCAAUUGAAACUGUUAUUCUAGAGUAUUGGAGAGGUAGGUAGAAUUCUUGGUGUAGCGGUGAAAUGCGUAGAGAUCAGGAGGAAUACUGAUUGCGAAGGCGGCCAGCUGGCACGUAACUGACGCUGAUGUGCGAAAGCGUGGGUAGCAAACAGGAUUAGAUACCCGAGUAGUC
This 440-nucleotide ribosomal RNA is filed under the name uncultured bacterium. Its description in RNAcentral is "partial 16S ribosomal RNA". It matches the Rfam family "Bacterial small subunit ribosomal RNA", at positions 338 to 795 of the family's 1533-position model. The record is from RNAcentral.